Molecule: non-coding RNA, 96 nt
Organism: Clostridiales bacterium
Lineage: Bacteria; Bacillati; Bacillota; Clostridia; Eubacteriales
Source: Rfam
AUGAAAGGGCAGGGGUGCUAUUGCUGAGAUGGCCUAGGCCAAACCCAUUGAACCUGUUCAGGUAAUGCUGACGUAGGAAACCAAGGACUUCUGCUG